Molecule: ribosomal RNA, 242 nt
Filed under: uncultured bacterium
Lineage: Bacteria
Description: partial 16S ribosomal RNA
Rfam family: Bacterial small subunit ribosomal RNA
Source: RNAcentral
GAUCCUGGCUCAGGACGAACGCUGGCGGCGCGCCUAACACAUGCAAGUCGAACGAGCGAGAGAGAGCUUGCUUUCUCGAGCGAGUGGCGAACGGGCGAGUAACGCGUGAGGAACCUGCCUCAAAGAGGGGGACAACAGUUGGGAACGACUGCUAAUACCGCAUAAGCCCACGGGUCGGCAUCGACCAGAGGGAAAAGGAGCAAUCCGCUUUGAGAUGGCCUCGCGUCCGAUUAGCUAGUUGG